Molecule: transfer RNA, 72 nt
Filed under: Candidatus Pacearchaeota archaeon
Lineage: Archaea; Nanobdellati
Description: tRNA-Arg
Rfam family: tRNA
About the family: Transfer RNA (tRNA) molecules are approximately 80 nucleotides in length. Their secondary structure includes four short double-helical elements and three loops (D, anti-codon, and T loops). Further hydrogen bonds mediate the characteristic L-shaped molecular structure. tRNAs have two regions of fundamental functional importance: the anti-codon, which is responsible for specific mRNA codon recognition, and the 3' end, to which the tRNAs corresponding amino acid is attached (by aminoacyl-tRNA synthetases). tRNAs cope with the degeneracy of the genetic code in two manners: having more than one tRNA (with a specific anti-codon) for a particular amino acid; and 'wobble' base-pairing, i.e. permitting non-standard base-pairing at the 3rd anti-codon position.
Source: RNAcentral
GGGCCUAUAGUUCAAUGGAUAGAACACAUGGUUUCGGCCCAUGUAAUCCAGGUUCGAAUCCUGGUAGGCCUA